Molecule: ribosomal RNA, 465 nt
Filed under: uncultured bacterium
Lineage: Bacteria
Description: partial 16S ribosomal RNA
Rfam family: Bacterial small subunit ribosomal RNA
Source: RNAcentral
GACGAACGCUGGCGGCGUGCUUAACACAUGCAAGUCGAACGGAAAGGCCCCUUCCGGUUUACUCGAUUGGCGAACGUGUGAGUAACACGUGAGUAACCUGCCCUUGCCUUCGGGAUAACUUCAGGAAACUGGGGCUAAUACCGGAUAGGAAUCCUUGUCGCAGGUUGGGGCUUGAAAAGCUUGGGCGGUUUUGGAUGGACUGGCGGUUUAUCAUCUUGUUGUUGGGGUAGUGGCUUACCAAGGUCUUGACCGGUAGCCGGCCUGAGAGGGCGACCGGCCACAUUGGGGAUGAGAAAGGGACGAAGCUGCCACGGAAGGCAGCAGUGGGGAAUAAUGCAGAAGGGGCGGAAGCCUGAUACAGCAAGGCCGCGUGGGGGAGGACGGCCUUCGGGUUGUAAAACGAUUUCAGCAGGGGCGAAGCUUGUGGUGACGGUACCUGCAGAAGAAGCACCGGCUAACUACGUG